This 3501-nucleotide long non-coding RNA is filed under the name Macaca mulatta (Rhesus monkey). RNAcentral's name for it is "lncRNA (ENSMMUG00000052052.1)". Lineage: Eukaryota; Metazoa; Chordata; Mammalia; Primates; Cercopithecidae. The record is from RNAcentral.
AUGCCCUGGGGACUUCGGUAUGUUAUUGCAAAAAAAACAUUAUUGCUAUUUGAACCCUGCUUUCAUGCCUCCAUUUCCCAGAAAAUGAGCCACGGAGACACCAGGAGAGGCAGGAGACCAUCCUCCUUGCACAAAACCCAUUCCCUUGGAUGCUGUCCUCAGCGAGGGUGGCUGAGGGCCAACCAGGGGGCCCACCCGCAGAGUGGCAGAGGAGGUCCAUGGCGGCUGCCAGGGCCAGCUGGUAGUACCCGGCUGCAUCAAACGGGUCCUGAAGGGGACAGGCCAUGCUCAGCAAAAGGGGGACUCGGAGCCCGUCUUCCCAGAGGCCGUUCCUGUCUCCAGGUCAUUCCACAUGUCCAGCCAAUGCUGGCUCACCCCAUGAGCCCCGAAGCCUGUGACACUGCUGUGGUCUCAGCUGCAGGAGGUGGGGAUGACCCUGACACCCCUGGAAGCCUUCCUGAGUGUCCCUACGCCCACUCACCCCAAGCCUCCUGCCCCGUGCCACCCUCUCUGAGGCAGUGGCUGCUUUCCCCAUGGGCUGAGGUCAGGGCAGAUCCUGCCUGCUCUGACAGUUCCAUGCAGGACUCGUGGCUCCAAGCCACAGCAGGGGCACAGCGUUGAGUGACCCAGGCUCCCCUCUGGCCCCUGUCCAUACUGACCAUUUCCAGGCCCUCCACGGGACAGGCCAGGUACAAAACCAUCUCACAGGUGUCCUCCCUGGCAAUGAUCCCUGAAAUAUUGAUGGAGUGUGACUCCCCAGACAUCCACUCCUGUUUUCAAUGCAUCUUUGGCUCAAACUCACCAUCCCUGGGUUGGGAUGCCGUCUCCCAGACCUCCUCCUUGACCCUCCCAUCCCCCACCCGGCACCUCUUCCACAUGGGGGUCACCCAAGGAACCUCUCUAAGACCCAUGCCUGGCCUGUUCCUCUUUGCCAUCUCAAGAUGGCUCCCAGGGCCAAUGAGAAAGUCCAAGAUGCAGCAGUCCAUUCCCUCACUGCCCCGCCCCACACACAGAGCAGGGGCGUGAGAAGGUCCCGAGUCACCGCCACUGCUCAUCCAAUGGCCCCGCCCAGCCGAACACUGGACUCUGUGCUGGGUGUGUGGCUGAGCCUAACGUCCUUGAUCCCAGUCUGAGGGACCUGGGAGUGAACACUGACCACACAGGGUGGCCCGGGCUGUGGCAGAGGGAAGCCCAGGAGACCCCAGACUCAGCCAGGGAUGGAAGGCAAAGGCUUCCUGAAGGGGUGGGGGCUUCCCAACUAAACAGGAAGGAGCCAGCCAAAGCAUAUGUCUCUGCGUGUGCUUGUGUGUGUGCCUGUGCGUGUUUGUGUGCCUGUGUGUGUGCACGUGUCUGUGUGUGGGCGCCUGUGUGUGCAUGUGCAUUUGCGUGUGCAUUUCCAUGUGCCUGUAGUGUGUGAAGCAGCUAAUGAGCAGCAGGCUGAGCCAGGACACAUCUAAUCCACCCUAUUCCAGGGCUCACUCUCACGUGUAGACUAAAGGGGACCCCAUUUUAGAGGCAAUCGGCAAAGAUGCCCAUUUACCUCUGCUUCUCUGCCAGCCUUCCAGGCCCCAUCCAGCCCGGCUUUUUCUCCCACUCCUCUGGGUCCUGGGUCCAGGGUCUCCUAUACAAGGAGGAGGGUGUAGCCUUGGAAAGACAGCCGCCCUUGGGGAAUUCUGAGGGGGCCUCCCUGUGGGAAGCUGGCCUGCGCUGACAGCAUAGUCACGAUGAGGCCCAGAGGGCUGUGCAUGGGAAGGAGGUGAAGGAGGCCUCUGCCCCUCGACCCCAACCGUGGACUUUGGCCUUUCAGGUACUACUUGGCCCUUUCCUUUCUCCUGGACAGGGGGAGUGGGCGGCAGGCUUGACCAAGUGAGAUAAAGGCCUCUUCUGGGAGGUCGGUCCCUUGGGUCCCAGGAGAGACCCUGGCAGUGAGCAGUGUCCCUCUGGGUCUGACACUUGGCACCUCCCUGUCUGGCUGGGACUUGGGAGGCCACAGGGACCACUUCUGAUCACCAGGUGUCGCCAGCACUGGGCAAGGGCCUCCCGGGCAGCCCCAAGCCUGUGGUGGGGGAUACGGGGCAGGGUCUUAGGGCUGCCCCAGCUCCUCAUGUUGUUCUAAGGCCCCCAAGAUUUUGGCCCCUGGACUGGAGUGCCCUGGCCUCUCAGCCCCUAAGGAGCACUGACGAGGUGCCAGUGCGAUGCUGAGGAGGGGUCGUGCCUGCUGGGCAGAGGGGUGGAGACACCCCAGGUCUGAGUCUGCCAGUCCCAGCUCUCUACCCCUGCAGGGCUGGGGGCAGAGGGAGCACAACACCUCCCCUCAAGACAGACCCGACCCAGCAAGGUCUCAGCCUGGCUGGCUGGGCCCCCGCCCCACUACACCUGCCCUAAGCUGGGGUUUCCCUGUCUGUGAACCCAAUGGUAAGACACUGGGGUCCCACCCAACCCUUCCUGGGUGGUGUGAAGAUUCAAGGUGUCUCGGGACUCCAGGAAGGAGUUACUCAGUGCAGGCUGGCACCCUGGGCAGGCUUCCUAGAGGAGGCGCCAGGAUUUGGGUUGGAUCUUGCAACGUGGAUUCAGUGUGAGGAUGAUGCCGUCCUCUGAAAUGUCCUUCUCCCGACCCUGUUUUCUUUGUUAAAUGCAACUUGACACUUGACUGUCAAGACUCAGUUUGGUGUCACCUCCUCCAGGAGGGCCCCUGACUACAAUCCUCCUUCUUUACCCAGAGGCCACCAUUGCCCACUCAUGUGUCAGCCUCCCUGGCUGAGACUGAGUUCUUGAGGGUGGGGCCUGGCCAUCUUGGGAGCUUGGUUGUAUCUGCUAACCUUGCCGGCUCCUCCAGCUGGGUGCAGAGCUCCAGGGAGGCCACUGGGCCAUUCCUAAGGAAGGCUGGAACCCAGGCCUCUGGGGUGUGGGUGGAGAUCCCACUCCAAGGGGUCUGGGAACACCCCGUGCCCUACCCCUGCCACCCACCUUCAGGUCAUAGAAGAUGAUGUCACCGAGCACCAGAUACAUGUUCACGUAAUAGACGGUCUCCUCGUCGAACUCCAGCAGCGAGUUGCAGAGCUACAGGGCCUUGAGGUAUAAGUGCUCCACCAGCUUGCCAUGGCCCAGCCGGUGGUGCAGGGCGGCCAGCCGUGGUAGGCCAUGCGCUCGUUCACUGGUCCCCUGGGUGCAGGCCAAAGGUGCAGGUGUGAGGACGUGGCUCCCUGGGGCAGGGAGGGCUCAGGCCCCUCAGGAGCAGGUAUGCAGACCCCGGGCUGCAUGCCUGGCUUGCCUCCAGGCACCUGUGGUCACCUGGGCAGCUCUGGCCAGUCCCUUCCAGGUUCCCAGACUCACUUUCCCAUGUGCAAGCAGAACUAAUAAGGCCUGCCCUGUCUACUGUGAGGCUUUGGAAAGUCGGACUUGGAUGGCCCAGUUCUGUGUCUACACAGAGCCACCUGCCUUUGCUCACUGGUUUUAACCAGGAGAACCCAAAAGCCAUGCAGUCCAGGUGCUCCUGGGCUC